ACUCCUACGGGAGGCAGCAGUCGAGAAUUUUUCACAAUGGGCGAAAGCCUGAUGGAGCGACGCCGCGUGGGGGAUGAAUGGCUUCGGCCCGUAAACCCCUGUCAUUUGCGACUAAACUCUGAAAUUUAAUAGAUUUCAGACUGAAAGUAGCGAAAGAGGAAGGGACGGCUAACUCUGUGCCAGCAGCCGCGGUAAUACAGAGGUCCCAAGCGUUGUUCGGAUUUACUGGGCGUAAAGGGUGCGUAGGUGGUAGGGUAAGUUCAAUGUGAAAGCUUCGGGCUCAACCCGAAAAUUGCAUCGAAUACUAUCCUGCUGGAGGGUCGGAUGGGAGACUGGAAUUCUCGGUGUAGCAGUGAAAUGCGUAGAUAUCGAGAGGAACACCUGUGGCGAAGGCGAGUCUCUGGACGAUUCCUGACACUGAGGCACGAAAGCUAGGGGAGCAAACGGGAUUAGAUACCCCGGUAGUCCUAGCUGUAAACGGUGCGCACUUGCUGUAAGAGGAUUCGAACCCUUUUGUAGCGAAGUUAACACGUUAAGUGCGCCGCCUGGGGAGUACGGUCGCAAGACUAAAACUCAAAGAAAUUGACGGGGGCCUGCACAAGC
RNAcentral lists this ribosomal RNA (603 nucleotides) under uncultured organism. Its description in RNAcentral is "bacterial SSU rRNA". It matches the Rfam family "Bacterial small subunit ribosomal RNA", at positions 335 to 930 of the family's 1533-position model. The record is from RNAcentral.